RNAcentral lists this ribosomal RNA (395 nucleotides) under uncultured bacterium. RNAcentral describes it as "bacterial SSU rRNA". It matches the Rfam family "Bacterial small subunit ribosomal RNA", at positions 505 to 898 of the family's 1533-position model. The record is from RNAcentral.
GUGUCAGCCGCCGCGGUAAUACGUAGGGUGCAAGCGUUGUUCGGAAUUACUGGGCGUAAAGGGAGCGUAGGCGGGUUCGUAAGUUAGGAGUUUAAUACAUGGGCUCAACCCAUGGCUUGCUUUUAAGACUGCGGAUCUUGAGUAUGGGAGAGGGCGAUGGAAUUCCAGGUGUAGCGGUGGAAUGCGUAGAUAUCUGGAAGAACACCAGUAGCGAAGGCGGUCGCCUGGCCCAAUACUGACGCUGAGGCUCGAAAGCUAGGGGAGCAAACAGGAUUAGAUACCCUGGUAGUCCUAGCUAUAAACGAUGGACACUAGAUGCUGGAGGAGUCAAUCUUUUCAGUGUCGUAGCUAACGCAUUAAGUGUCCCGCCUGGGAAGUACGCUCGCAAGAGUGAA